AUUGAACGCUGGCGGCAUGCCUUACACAUGCAAGUCGAACGGCAGCACGGGUGCUUGCACCUGGUGGCGAGCGGCGAACGGGUGAGUAAUACAUCGGAACAUGUCCUGUAGUGGGGGAUAGCCCGGCGAAAGCCGGAUUAAUACCGCAUACGAUCCACGGAUGAAAGCGGGGGACCUUCGGGCCUCGCGCUAUAGGGUUGGCCGAUGGCUGAUUAGCUAGUUGGUGGGGUAAAGGCCUACCAAGGCAACGAUCAGUAGCUGGUCUGAGAGGACGACCAGCCACACUGGAACUGAGACACGGCCCAGACUCCUACGGGAGGCAGCAGUAGGGAAUUUUGGACAAUGGGCGAAAGCCUGAUGCAGCAAUGCCGCGUGUGUGAAGAAGGACUUCGGAUUGUAAAGCACUUUUGUCCGGAAAGAAAAACUUGGCUCUUAUACAGUCGGGGGAUGACGGUACCGGAAGAAUAAGCACCGGCUAACUACGUG
This 486-nucleotide ribosomal RNA is filed under the name uncultured bacterium. Its description in RNAcentral is "partial 16S ribosomal RNA". It matches the Rfam family "Bacterial small subunit ribosomal RNA", at positions 30 to 507 of the family's 1533-position model. The record is from RNAcentral.